UACGGAAGGCAGCAGUGGGGAAUAUUGCACAAUGGGCACAAGCCUGAUGCAGCCAUGCCGCGUGUAUGAAGAAGGCCUUCGGGUUGUAAAGUACUUUCAGUCGUGAGGAAGGUGUUAAGGUUAAUAACCUUAGCAAUUGACGUUAGCGACAGAAGAAGCACCGGCUAACUCCGUGCCAGCAGCCGCGGUAAUACGGAGGGUGCGAGCGUUAAUCGGAAUUACUGGGCGUAAAGGGCACGCAGGCGGUUAAUUAAGUUGGAUGUGAAAUCCCCGGGCUUAACCUGGGAAUGGCAUUCAAGACUGGUUAGCUAGAGUCUUGUAGAGGGGGUAGAAUUCCAUGUGUAGCGGUGAAAUGCGUAGAGAUGUGGAGGAAUACCGGGUGGCGAAGGCGGCCCCUGGGACAAAGGCUGACGCUCAUGUGCGAAAGCGUGGGGAGCAAACGAGGAUUAGAUACC
Molecule: ribosomal RNA, 455 nt
Filed under: uncultured bacterium
Lineage: Bacteria
Description: bacterial SSU rRNA
Rfam family: Bacterial small subunit ribosomal RNA
Source: RNAcentral